AAUUUAUGAUAAUUUAUUCAGAUCUCCUUUUCUUCUAGUCUUUGCAAGCUUGAAGUUUCACUUGGUGUGAGAGAGUUGUUCCUUACCCUCUAAGUGAUUUUUUUCUUUUCCUUUCUCUUCGAUCUCGUCACCUAUGGGUGUUCAAACAAUUGAUUCAGUUAAUACCUGAACAAUACUAUCAUUAACUGAAAUUUUGAAACCCUUAAUCGUUAAUCAGACCAAUUUUUUUAAACUAUUAGCCAGCCGGAUUGAUUUCGGUUAAUUUGAGCGGUUAACCAGAAAUUAUACAUCGUUUAUUUUUGUUCAAACAAUUUUAAAACAAAGAACAAUCCAUGACAAUUGUUUCCUUGUUUUUUAUUGAAAAAAUUAAAAGAAUUAAAAAAAUAACAUAAUAACAACACUAAAUUAAAAACAUAAUAGCAUUCAUUACAUUAUAUAUAUAUAUAUAUAUAUAUAUAUUUACUUUUUCUUCACUUUUUAGUUUAAUUUUAUUUUUUUUCAAAUAUUUUUAGUUUUCAUAUUUUUGUUAAGCUUAUUAUAAGAAAACUUAUAAAUCCAUUAGUUUUUAUAUAUUUGGUUUGUAUAAUGUAUUGGACUUAUCUCUAAUAUAUUUGGCCUAUAAUAUACUUUUAUUGAUUUCGGUUAAUUAGUUGAUUUCAAACUAAACUAAUUGGAAAAUAAAAUCUUCAAAAACCUUUAACCAACUCCCAACUAAAUUAGAUUUGAUUGCUUAAUCAAAUUAAUUAGGUUUGAUAAACUAAUUCGUUAAAACCAAAAAAUGCACACCCUUAUCAUCACCUUUAUUUUUAGGGAUUUUAAUCAUGUUGCUCCACCUGAUGCAGAAGUUGAGGUGGAACGAACUGCUUGCUACCAAAAUUUAUGAAUUAUAGAGCAUGCUCCACCGUAUUGAAUCAAAUUCAGUGGAGUGGAAGACUUUUCUUCACUACUUUAUGCUCUAUGCUCCAAGUCUUCUAUUCUUUUUCAGAGACCUACAAUGGGAAAAUAAAAAAUAAGAAACAAGUCUGAAUUAACUUUGAAAAUUAGAAAUUUUCAACAAAAUUGAAAUAAAAUAUAAUUAAUCCAUAAAAACUAUAAAAUGCAAUAAAAACAAACCUAAAUACUAAAAUUACCUCCUAAAAUGCUAUGGAAACUAUACUAAAAUAACUCUAAAUAUGAUAGUUAUCAGAAGCGACUUGAAUAAGCCAAUCGAGUAGAUGAUUUCAACUAUUGCAAAUAGCAUCAGUCGAUUAACCAUCCUCUUGAGAAGAUCAUAGAGUUGAAAGAAAAAAUCAUACAAUUCCAUGAAGAAGAAAAAAUCAUGUUUGAAAAAGAAGUGGCAUUAUCAAACUUGACAUCAAUGCUUUGGUUUCUCAAUACAAUAUUAUGGACUGAUUCAUCAAAUUUGGCUCUUUCAAUCCUAUUACACUAGCUCUAAGUAGAAGUAAGAUGGUGAAUUUCGAAGGGAUUGGGGGCAAUCAUCUAUUUUUGGAAUAUCAGAAUGGUCAUGAUUGGACUCAAAGAAGCCAAUGAAAAGCAUCUCUCCUAGGUAUAAGCUUAUAUUGUCACAUUGCUCCUAAGCAUGAGCUUAAAUUGUUCAUCC
RNAcentral lists this long non-coding RNA (1600 nucleotides) under Gossypium raimondii (Peruvian cotton). RNAcentral's name for it is "long non-coding RNA (GRAI_LNC007588)". The record is from RNAcentral. Lineage: Eukaryota; Viridiplantae; Streptophyta; Magnoliopsida; Malvales; Malvaceae.